GCUUGUCUCAAAGAUUAAGCCAUGCAUGUCUCAGUAUAAGCUUUUACACGGCGAAACUGCGAAUGGCUCAUUAAAACAGUUAUCGUUUCUUUGGUGGUUAUUGAUUACAUGGAUAACCGUGGUAAUUCUAGAGCUAAUACAUGCGCCCAGACCCAACUUUUAGGAAGGGUUGUGUUUAUUAGAUAAAAAGCCAAUCCAUGCUCUGCAUGGUAUUGUGGUGACUCAUAAUAACCGAUCGAAUCGCAUGGCGUAAGCCGGCGAUAAAUCAUUCAAGUUUCUGACCUAUCAGCUUCCGACGGUAGGGUAUUGGCCUACCGUGGCUAUGACGGGUAACGGGGAAUUAGGGUUCGAUUCCGGAGAGGGAGCCUGAGAAACGGCUACCACAUCUAAGGAAGGCAGCAGG
This 403-nucleotide ribosomal RNA is filed under the name uncultured Colpodellidae. RNAcentral describes it as "partial small subunit ribosomal RNA". It matches the Rfam family "Eukaryotic small subunit ribosomal RNA", at positions 30 to 432 of the family's 1831-position model. Lineage: Eukaryota; Colpodellaceae. The record is from RNAcentral.